Molecule: ribosomal RNA, 497 nt
Filed under: uncultured bacterium
Lineage: Bacteria
Description: partial 16S ribosomal RNA
Rfam family: Bacterial small subunit ribosomal RNA
Source: RNAcentral
GAUGAACGCUGGCGGCGUGCCUAAUACAUGCAAGUCGAGCGAACGGACGAGAAGCUUGCUUCUCUGAUGUUAGCGGCGGACGGGUGAGUAACACGUGGAUAAUCUACCUAUAAGACUGGGAUAACUUCGGGAAACCGGAGCUAAUACCGGAUAAUAUUUUGAACCGCAUGGUUCAAAAGUGAAAGACGGUCUUGCUGUCAGUUCUAGAUGGUUCCGCGCUGCAUUAGCUAGUUGGUAAGGUAACGGCUUACCAAGGCAACGAUGCGUAGCCGAACGGAGAGGGUGGUCGGCCACACUGGAACGGAGACACGGUCCAGACUCCUACGGGAGGCAGCAGUAGGGAAUCGUACGCAAUGGGCGAAAGCCUGACGGAGCAACGCCGCGUGAGUGAUGAAGGUCUUCGGAUCGUAAAACUCUGUUAUUAGGGAAGAACAUAUGUGUAAGGAACUGUGCACAGCUUGACGGUACCUAAUCAGAAAGCCACGGCUAACUACGUG